UACGUAGGGCGCAAGCGUUGUCCGGAGUUAUUGGGCGUAAAGAGCUCGUAGGCGGUUUGUCGCGUCUGUCGUGAAAGCCCACGGCUUAACCGUGGGUCUGCGGUGGAUACGGGCAGACUAGAGGCAGGUAGGGGAGAAUGGAAUUCCCGGUGUAGCGGUGAAAUGCGCAGAUAUCGGGAGGAACACCGGUGGCGAAGGCGGUUCUCUGGGCCUGUACUGACGCUGAGGAGCGAAAGCGUGGGGAGCGAACAGG
This 253-nucleotide ribosomal RNA is filed under the name uncultured bacterium. RNAcentral describes it as "partial 16S ribosomal RNA". It matches the Rfam family "Bacterial small subunit ribosomal RNA", at positions 524 to 776 of the family's 1533-position model. The record is from RNAcentral.